CAAUAAAAUAUAACAGAUCUCAGACUUACAAAUAUUUCAGCUCCUCCAAAUCAGCACUAUUUCUAGCAACUUGAGAGCAAGAAAACCACACCUAAACAUGCUUUUCUAUUGCAACCAAAAAUAUCAGGGGCUAGUCUAAACAACCAAGAACAACUCCCUAGUUGACAACUCUGUCAAACGACGCACGAAAUAAAUCCUACAAAUUAAACAAAAG
Molecule: long non-coding RNA, 214 nt
Filed under: Hordeum vulgare
Lineage: Eukaryota; Viridiplantae; Streptophyta; Magnoliopsida; Poales; Poaceae
Description: long non-coding RNA (HVUL_LNC000862)
Source: RNAcentral